This is a long non-coding RNA of Macrobrachium nipponense, 3574 nucleotides long. RefSeq lists it as uncharacterized. NCBI's taxonomy places the organism in Eukaryota, Metazoa, Arthropoda, Malacostraca, Decapoda, Palaemonidae. The transcript is spliced from 2 exons. The record is from RefSeq and is a predicted model, not a curated record.
CCGUAGGACUCGAGGACGUGAGCAAGUAUCCUCAGCUUCUGGCGGAAGUACUGAAGGAUCCCAGAUGGAGUGAGGAGGAUGUGGCUAAGCUGGCAGGAGGGAACUUCCUCAGAGUCCUACGAAGAGCUGAGCAGGUUCGAGACGAGUUGAGCUCGACGCAGCCGUACGAGGACCACAUUCACCCCGACAACCUGGCGGGCAGAAGAUCCUGCUGGUGGACGUGACGCCUCCCCUGCCUUAGGACAUGUUGCCCUCUGUUGUUCCUUCUCACUCUCGUCCUGGCUCAAGUUCAUCGGCUCCUCAAGGACAAUCGAAACUGAGAGAUUCGAAAAAUAAAAUAAUAAUAAUAACCCACAAAAACAAGACGACCAGACUCUUACGUCGAAAUUUUCAGAAAUCGUUUUCAACUGUUCAACUGCACAAGAGUGAGAGGAACGUCGAGUUGAUUUACUAUCCCGUUGGAAAAAAGCAAACACGAGUUGAUUUGUUAUCCCGUUGGAAAAUCACAAACUUGAGUUGAUUUGCUAUCCCGCUGGAAAAAAGCAAACAUGAGUUGUAUUGCUAUAUCGUUGGAAAAAACCAAACUUUAGAUCCUAACAAAUGCAGAGUCUAUUCGGUUCAGAAAGAGGACCAGGAAUUUUUAGCUGUAUAUAUAUAUCUCAAAGGAUUUUUCUUAAACGAAACGGCUAUGGAGGCCUAUUUUGCAUGGAACCACCUCCACUCUGUUAACUCCACAAUGAGGCCCAAAAGAUUUGUGUACAUAGAAAUAGACUUAAACUGUCUCUCUCUUUUCGUCUUCAAGAAAUAUGUUUUGCUACGAGGUUUUUUGUGUGGAUAAAACGAUUAGAAGAAGUACUAGGUGGAACCUAAAGACACUACGAUAAAGAGAGAGAGAUAGACCAAAAAGGAAAGAAGAAGGAGUAUUGCUUUUUGUUUUUUUUUAUCCCUUCCCGUACCUGAACUAGUCUCAUGGGUGAGGUGCUUCUUGCAAUGACCAUUCCAGAACAGGUUUUCUUUCUUUUAUUUGAUUUAUAACCCUAACCCUAACAGACCCAAGCGAAAGACCAGAGGAAUCAUAAUUUAUAUUAAUAAAAGAAAGAACACAAACUACAAUACAAACUUCAGAAAAGAUAGAAAAAAAAGACUAAGCACCUUUAAGCUCUGAGGGAUAAUAACAAUAUAAUCACAUUUGAGACUGUCGAAUAAAAAAAAUGUUCGACUUACGUUAAGCAGUGAUGACUGUGUUUAUUUAUUUAUUUUUUUUUUGUGAAUAUAAAUGAAAGAACGAACUCUAAAGAAGUUUAAAAAAAAUAUAUAAAGAAUAAUGAGAGAAAAAAAAACAAGAAAGUUCUAUAGAGGGAGAGAGAGAGCGAGAGAAGGACAGAUAGAAAGUGAGGUUAUUGAAUCAGUACAAAACUUCAGCAGAAUAAAAAAAAUGAAUUUCUUCGUCUCGAUGUUUAGACCCGUCGCGGACGUUUAGGUAUAUAAAUAAAUAAAUAAAUAAAUAAAUAAAUAUAAAUAAAUAAAUAAAUAUAUAUAUAUAUAUAUGCCUCGUAUAUAAAGCUCCUCUGUGAGUGGACUGUAUUCGUCAUUGUAUGACUUGUGAUAUAUAUAUAUUAAAAAAAGUGGUUCAUUACCGUCUUUUUUAAGAGGCCAUGUUAGUUAUGCACAUUAUUUUUUCAUUCAGUCGGAUCCUCGAGAAUUCAGCCGAUCUUGAUUUCCAGUGGAACUCGACGUCGUCGAAAUCAUAUGUAUUCCAAAGGCUAAGGAAAACGAAGUCUACUUGGCAUAUCCCAGAGAUAUGAGUGCAAACAAAAAUAUAUAUAUAUAUAUAAAAGUGAAAUAUUUAUUCAGCUCAGGUGAACAGCAGAAGUGUUUAUAUUAUAUAUAUAUAUCGUUCCUAAGAGACCUUCAAGUGUUAUAUAUAUAUACACAAACACAGACAGAGAGCGACGAGAGAAAGCGAGAGAGAAAGAGAGAGAGAAAGUUUUACUAGUCGUGUUUUUAGACGUGAAUUCUAUAUAGAAAAUAUAAAAAAACUAUUGUAUAGAUUUUAUAAAAAAGGACACAAGCUGUAAUAUAUAGAUAUAUAUAUCGCUCUCAUCAGACGGUGUUGGACAUCUCUAUGACUUAGGUGGAUAUCACGAUAGUACGCUGUUCGUAGCAAUAUUGACGUGACGUCAUUUGUAAGAAGUCGUAGAAGCCGACGGCGACGACGACGAUGAUAUUCCUUGACAUACUUUUAUACCGAAGAUAUGUGUCGGCGUGUGUGGUAUCGUUUCGUGCGUGUGUAUGUGCGUGUACGCGUCGUGUGAACCUGCGUGCCGUUAGAGUGUACAUACGUAACUUGAUCUUUGGUAGACACCGCAGACAAUCUCUUUAUUAAAGAUAUAAAAAAAGGCUUUUUUGAUAAUAUUAGAAUGUACUACUACGUGUUCACCUUCGUCAUUCCCGGUCGGUGAGAUAUAGUUUCUUAAUCGACUUUUUAUAUUUUUUUCUCUCAUUCGGUACAUUUUCUGUGUUAGGGGAAUGAAAUGAUGAAACUACGCCUCCUCAACUCUUUUUUUUUUUUUUUUUUUUUUUAAGGGGGUGAGGGUGGGGGUCUGGCGCCCACGGGUGGUCGCCUUGGUUUGAAAAAGUUCAUUCGUUCACAAUCUCGUUCCGACGACUGGCCUGAUCGUCUAGUUUACUCACACAGGGGGACUUAGCAUUUCUUAUAUACCGGAACCUCACCAUUUUUACCUUCAAAUGAUCCACAGGGUUGUAAUCAUCUCUAUAAUUCUAUAUAUUUUUAUUUGCCUGGUCUUUUUUUUUAUAAACCCUUUUCAUCUAUAGUUUUCGACGUCUAUAUCUUUCUUCUUCUUGACGGUGGUGUGUGAGUGAGAAUGAAUGAUCUAAUUAUGAUGACUGUCAUUAUAUGUAUGUAUGUAUAUAUAUACACAUAUACAAGUAUAUAUAUUUAUGUAUAUACAAAUGCAUAAGUAUGUAUGUAUGUGCUGGAAAUUAUAAAAAAAAAUAUGCUUGCUCAAUCACUGAAUAGUUACUAAGAGCAACUUGGUUUUGACUAAUGUAGAAUGCGGAACCUUUUUAUAUCUUGAUAGAGAGAGAGAAGAGAGAGAGAGAGAGAGAGAGAGAGAGAGAGAGAGAGAGAGAGAUGCAUCCUUCGAAAUGUAAUUAAAUCCCUUGACGGAUGUAAAAUCCAAACUGAGAAGACCAGGCGUAGAGUUAAAUUUUUGUAGUCAGACAUAACCUGAUAACGUUCAUUGAACUACCUCUAUAGGACUGCCUGAUUUAUCUAUCAUUCACCUAUUUCGUUUGUCAUUCAUUUGUUAUUUAGCGUUAAAAAUGAACUUUAUAUACGAAAGACAAAGAAGCAGCUUCUGGUCGGAAAUGCUAUGAGCAGUAACGCCAGGCAGUCAGGCCAGUCGUCCAAUUCAGGCAUUUUGCUUCCCUCUGGAACCCAUAGAAAAAAUCACCCCGGGUGGUGUCAGUCAAGUCUCACCUUCCUACACAACUUUAGCGGAGAAACGAAGCGAACGGCCGUUUUUUCUUUUCAUUUUUCUUUUUUAGAAUU